This is a non-coding RNA of Penaeus vannamei (Pacific white shrimp), 230 nucleotides long. Lineage: Eukaryota; Metazoa; Arthropoda; Malacostraca; Decapoda; Penaeidae. The record is from RefSeq and is a predicted model, not a curated record.
ACGAAGAGGAACUUCGUCCUGUAUAUCUUAAGAUCGAGCACAGCCCUGCUAUCCCCUUGCUAAGGAAAGGUGAUGACAUGUGUCUUCCUCUGCACCUCGCUGAUGUCGAGGUUAGUCGUGCAGGGUUGCAACGUGCGAAAGAGCAACUGAUGGGCAAGCGAGCGUGGUUCACCCUCAUCUCCCACGACGCGGAUGCCAACACUCUCGUUUCCAUUGUCAAGCCCGUAAAG